CUGAAAUGCGGUAAAGCUCAAAAGCAUUGUAAUCUCUCCUGCGAAGCUUUCUAUGGGAAUAGUAUCGUCGGGAGAGAUUCCGACGCUGGCACACAGACUGGGAAUCCGCUCCCUGGUGGAGAUGACAGGACUAGAGUCUGCAGGCAUGCCCACCCGACAGAAGAAAGUGAGGGGGAAGGAAGAAAUGCCCUCCAAGCUAAGAGGAGUUAGAGAAACAUUCCUGGCCACGAAACCCUUUGCUGGGAUCUAUAACUUCAAGACUCUCCAAGUUUCCUCGACAGAAGUUUCUGGCUGAGGGAACCAACAUGUAACUGAGGCACAGUGACAAGUUAUUGUCCCGUGUGUGUGUGUGUGUGUGUGUGUGUGUGUGUGUGUGUGUGUGCGCGCGCGCGCGCGCGCGCUCUGGGGAAGCUCUCUUCCAAAGUGGAUUUUUUUUUUUUUUGGUGUAUAGAUACACUUCACAUCUGCCUCUUUUCAAAACAGCAAAGAAUUUUACUUUUGAUUCUCAAGGGGAUUUUUUUAAAUAACUGCCUGUUGCCAUGUCUUCUUUUUUUAAAUGGGAAAAAGUAAUUGAAUGCUGAUAUUUCCACUUUAGAAACUUCUUUUGUUGCAGCAGUGGAUGUGCCCGCGAUUUCCAGCAUUCUGCGGUUAGCAAUAUUAUCUUAAGUAACUUUUGGCGCCCUUCGUAAGACUUUUGGAUAUGGGACGAUUGUUUGCGCCCUCUAGGCAAGGGCUGGAUCCAAGUUCAGCACCAAAGCCCUCCACAUCCGCUCCUGCUUUCUCUCCUAUCUGUGCCAGCUCCCGCUCCCUCCCCCGCUCCGGAGGAGGGUGGAAGGCGGGGGAACACUACAAAGCCCAGUUCCAACUACAGCCUUUGCAAACUAGACUGAGAAAAAUACCGUAGAAGAGUUACAGUUACAGAAUGGCUUCUGGUAACUUUCUCUCCAACAGGCAUAAAUUUAAACACACAAAGAAACAGAUGUUCCUCAGAGGACAGACCCGGGAUAAAAAACAUUUCUAACUUUCUCCUGUCUUCUAGGUUGCAAAAGUAAAUCCUUGUCUAGAGUUCACAGAGAUACUAAGAGAGGGAGAGAAAGGAAGAUCUGAGAAAGAGGGGGAAGGGAAGGGGGAGCAAAAGAAGGGAGAAGAGUGUAGGAAACACAGGUGAUGUAUGAAAACUAGUUUAUUGCAAUCAUAUAAAUGACCCAUUGUUAGGAAGGGUAAAUCCUUAUUGGAAACAUUACUCCAGUCGUUUAUUUUGCAAGUGGUAGGAGGCUGCCUUGAAACCGGAUUGUCUUUGCAAAAAGGAGGUUCCUGCCAUGCUCUCUGCUAUCCAUAUUCUCCCUGGCACAGAGCCCAGCCUUGCAUUUACUGUUUUAUUUGCAGAAACGUUACCUUGCCAGCUUUAGUGAAAUCCUCUUAGAUGUAUAAAUUACGUCAAUAAAGUUUCACUUCUACAUAUAUCUGAAAUACCUCUCCUUUCUAUUUAGUUGGGAAAUUGUAUUAAUGUGAUUUAGAUUUUAAUGCCCAAAGUAGUGAAAAUGGGACCAGGAUUCCUAAGUGACAAUAAAUACCAUUUGCUCUAUAGUUAUCACCAAGACUAACUCUUAACUAGUAUUUUCCAGCAUUUUUCUUCACUUUUUUACUUACUGGUCACUUGUGUGCAGAUUUCUCUUACUUGCAUAUAAUCCCAAAUUGAAUCAUGUUGAUGCAUUGAGCACACAAGUGAGUUUUUCACAUCAAGUUUCCGAACAAGGUUUGUCUGGAAGGCCCAAAGCCUCAGGAAAUAGUUGGAUGAGAACUAAAUCCACAUUAAAAAGUAAAGAAUCCAUAUUAUUUUCCAUGUAUUACCUACAGAAUUGGGGGUGGGGGUUGAUAGAUUUGAACCAGAGGCUGCAAGUUAUAUCUCCAAGACAAACUAAGGCAGUUAGUUUCCACCAUGCAGAUGGCCAGGAUUGAACAAGAGGCUAGACUCCAGCUAACAGGAGUCAGUUCUCUCCCACUUAUGUACCCGCCAGUAGGGUUGUUGUGGUAACACAAAGAAAUGUGAUAUGCUCCAUGCUACUGACCAUAAUCUGAAACAGUAGAAUUCAGGAACAUCCAGCCCCUCCCUUCUCCUUUUCAAAUCUAUAGAACAGUUGUCCAUCUACCUAUAGUGCGUUCUCUUUCAUGGAUACAUCAAAGACUCUAAAAGAAUCAGCGAGAAGUUCUGAAGCACUUAGUGCAGUACCAACUUGAGGCAUCUUUCUCAAAGAAGCUAAACCUCUCCUACGAGUUCCCAACUUCCCUGAGUUCUGAGAAUAACUAAUGCAAGGUUAAAUAUUACUCUAGCAGAAUUUUCCAAAGGAGCAAAGUUAAAAGUCACAUAGGAGCCAUGCAACCCCCCAACAGCCUCUUUUCUCCUUUAAACUAACAACAACAACCAAAAAAACACCCCUCUUUCCUAUUGUAAUUGCUAAAUCCGGAAGCGCUGGUAUCUUUGACAGCUUGAACUAUACACCAUCCCCUUCAGAACUGCAGAGAACUUCAGAUCUCAUUUGCCCCGCCCCCUAUGGCUAUUACGAACCACUGUAUGCCCAAGCUUUCUCAUGAUUGGAUAGAACUUCUGUCAAUCUCGCAGGUUGUCCCAUUGAUUAGAGGAUCGAAUCGUCAAUUAUUCUCGGGUCCAGACAUUUCUUUUCGGGUUAGGUUGACUGCAGAGGCCAGACGUCUUUAACAGAGCAGAGCACGUACAGGAUCCCCCUCCCCCUCCCCCCCUUUUCUGGAACGGAGCAAGCGCUAGCAGGAAAAAAAAUCUGUUAAGCUCAGCAAUUUUUUCAAAUCCUGGAAAAAAAAAAGAAAGAAAGAAAGAAAGAGAAACCCGAUCUCUCUGCUGCACAUAACAAAAACACGAUCCACAAAGCUGCAUCUUUAAAAGAAAACCAUCGCAAUAGACAUUUACCCAGCAAUCACUAAAGUGCAUAUUCGAGCUAGAAAAAUUUUAAAGUCUUAACCAUUAAGCAUAAACAUUCUACCGUUGUUUAUAUAACACAUAUCGUAUAAAUGUAAAAUAGAAAGUUUAAGAUGUACCACGUACCAUUGCAAUGUAAAAAGAGUACGUGAGAAACUUUAAAAUGCUCAGACGAAUUGCUUCAUCGCUUGUCCCUGUUUUUUUGCAUUAAAAAAAAUAGCUAAAUAAACUUGGAACCGUUGAAAACCCGGAAGAGAUUUUUUUAAGCUGCUGGCCAAUUGCAGGCUUCUUGGAUAUUUUUUUUUUAAACUCCAAAUCAAAAGGCUUCUACCAAGGAUGGCAGAGCUCUCUCUCUCUCUCUCUCUCUCUCUCUCUCUCUCUCUCUCUCUCUCUCUCUCUCUCUCUCUCUCUCUCUCUCUCCCCUGUCUUUCUCUCUCCCUCCCUUUCCCUCUCUCGCGGUCUCUCUCUCUUUCUCUCUCUCCUCUUUGAAAGCGAUCCAAUCUAACCCGAGCUGGCUGCUUCUCAGAUUCUCUCUGGAUUUGCCUGGUGUGCUUGAAAGAGACUUUGCAGAAGUUGCGAUCCUUUCAGCAGCCCCUCUUUCCUCUCCCUACCCCCUUGUUUAUUUCCGCAAUCGCUGCAAUUUGCAUAGUAACCACGCCCGAGGCGAAGGGGCCGGAGGGGGCAGGGACAGUCUCAGGCGUCCCCUCCUCCCUCUCCGCGCUGUCUCCUCCUCCCCCACGGCUUGUGGCCAAUGGGAGCCCCGGCCUUCAGCGCAAGCUCGGGUCGGGACUCCCGGCUGCAGAACCGCCUCUGAGUUGAUAGGCCCCGCUCCCGGGAUCCGGGUUUUGGCGCAGGGGAAGUUUCCCUGCUUGCAGAGGUUGCAGCAGGCUCGUAAGAGAUGGGAAGAUUAUAGUUCCUUUGCCCGCAGUUCACGCCGGUUUUGCAUGUUUGAAUCACGUUCGCACACCUGCUUCGUCGGUUUCUUUUUCCGAGCCUCUUCCUGUAAUCAUGUUCAAAAGCAAGCAGUGAACCCAUCCUUCUCAUCUUGUGCACAACACAACAAUCUCAAGAGACGGAACAGAAUGUUAUCUAAGUGAGCUGCUCAGGUCACCAGGGAGGACAGAACUGAAGGGGAACUCAAGAGGGGGUCCAGCUACCAUAUUCUACAGAUGAUAAAACUGAAGCUGGUAGAGUUAAGGAGCUGGCCACACAGCUGGUAAAGAAUUAACCCCUAGCCCAGUGCCAGACUCAUUACAUCAUGCAAAGGCUACUCUGCAGGAACAGGGAGAGAGCAUGUGACCGUGUCUGCUACCAAAGUCUGAAAGAAGCCUGAGAAAAGAAACAUACUGUUAAUGAACCCAAUGGAAGUAAGAAAACAUUAAAUUACUGAAACAAAGUCCAGGCUAGUAUUUAGAAUUGUACCAGCAUGUUUAGACAGUAAGGGAUACUUUUUCAGGACACUGAAGGAGGAUGACAGCCUCAGCCUGAGAUGGGAUUGCUGGAGUGUGAACUGUGCUCUCUACCCCUGGUGACUUUGGGCAGGUCAAUUUCUCUGGCAAGCCUCUCCGACUACCUACUCUGUGAAACACAAAUAUCAUCAGCUGUACUUUAUUCAUGAGCUCUGGUGAGGAUUCCAUGAAUUCGUGAAUGAGAAACUAGAAAACCAACCAAACCUGAGAUUCUGUUCUGGGGAGGCCUGAACUACCAACAACUGUUAGCUUCUCAAGGCCUAUGAGGACAAAGAGUGCUGCUAUUCAUUUAUGCUUGUCAAUCCCAUAUUUUCCAGAUUUGGGAAUAAAGAUAAGUCUCAGUCUCUCUCUCUCUCUCUCUCUCUCUCUCUCUCUCUCUCAAAUAAAAUAAAUGAGAACCAUAUCUAAAGUCAACCAACCUAGGCCAGCCAACAUAGCCAAUCUCUCUCUCUCUGCCCUCCACAUUUACAGACACAUUAACCUGCACACAAACACACAUAUGUACACUCAUACACAUAGAGAGACAAAAUUAUUUUUAUCUUGAGUUUCUUAAUCAUAAAAGAGGAAAGGGUGAGAACUUAUGAAAUAUACAAUAUCCAUAAAACACUAUAAAAGCCUAGUAUGGAUUUCCAAAAGCAACACAGAUUUUUCUGAUGCUGGAAAAGUUUGACACACAUCUCCCAGUAUAUCCUCCACCACUGCUGUUCUACCCCCCAGAGACAGUGAGGUCGCAGAGAGGUCAGCCUUCACCGGGGAUGCUCUGGGGGUGGGGAAAGGGGAAGCAGAAGGGGUAGGAGCCUUAUCCAAGGACACCUCCGCCCUUGGUUCAUUGGCUCGUCUAACUACAGCAGUGUUCCUCUAGUGGUGAGGUGAAAUUUACCUAGUCUAGCAUGGCUAUCUGUAAGAACAGACCAUCAGCAACAAAAAAACAACAGCAGACCUGGAGUUUUUUUGUUUGUUUUGUUUUUCCACAUUCAUGCUGAUGUUAAAAACAAAACUUAUCAAAAAGUAGAAAGAGAGGAAUUAGAAACUGGAACCAGAUUGGCAUAGGUGCUGGCUUCAGAGUCUCUUUUCCAACCUUAAGUUCAAGAGGUCUGCGGCCUCUCUUGACUUUUCUUUCUUACAAGAUUCACAGAAUCCGUUCAGCACAGAAGACACUAACAGUUGGAGUUGUUGAGUUGAAACUGUCCUUCAUGUUAUUUGAAUCAGACAAAGUAGGGCUAUCAGUCUGAAAGCCCAGUAAAUAGGCUAAGAUUCCAGAAAGCAUUAUAGGAAAAGGGCAGGACAAGAUCUGACCCUGCUAUGGGAACUGCUAGGGAAAAGUCAGUCUUUUCUCAUAUCUAUCUAUCUGUCUGUCUGUCUAUCUAUCUAUCUAUCUAUCUAUCGAUAGAUAGAUAGAUAGAUAGAUAGAUAUGAGAAAUUUAGCAUAGUGUCUUGAAGUUUCACUCACAUGCUAAAUUUCCUUUCUUGUUAAAGCUAAAUAAUGUAACCUAGGGUGUGAUUGGUUUGUUGAUGAAUACUUGGUUACUAUAUAUGUGUGUGUGUGUGUGUGUGUGUGUGAGAGAGAGAGAGAGAGAGAGAGAGAGAGAGAGAGAGAGAGAAAGAGAGAGAGUUUAAUCCUUAACCAUCUUAAAUGUGCAAUUUAGCGGCGUCAAGUACACUCACAGUGUGUACAGCUUUCUCUGCUCUUCAUCCCCAGAGCUUUUAUCUUCUUCCUAAACUGUGGCUCACUUUUCUCUUCUCCUUUUCCCAGUGUGUGGUAAUGCCAUCCUAUUCUCUAUCUCCACAAACCAUAUUAGAAGUGAAAUUAUAUAGUGCUUGACUUUUGGUGACUAGCUUGUUUUACUUAGCACAAUGUCCUAAGUUUCACUCACAUACUAAAUUUCCCUUUCUUGUUAAAGCUAAAUAAUGUAACCAAUGUCCUUCUGUUUGUGGGGUGGGGUGUGAUUGGUUUGUUGAUGAAUACUUGGUUACUUGGGUUGUCUAUAAACCUUUGGUUACUAUGAAUAUGGGUGUACAUAAGUGGGUAAUCAAGGCCCUGCUUCCAUGCUUUCUGAUACACACCCAGAGGUGCAGUUGCCUGAUCUCAUGGUAAAUGUAUUUUCUGUUUCUUUGAGAAGGAAAUAUACCAAGCUUGAUUUUUCUUUAGCGAGAAAUCCUGAGCAAAUUCCUUGAUGACUUUUGUCGUUUAUGAAGUUAACUUCUUAAGUAUCAGGCAUCUUGGAUUUUAGUUCCACGUGCUCUGAUUGUGAGCUUUGAAAAUUGUUUGAUUUCUCAGGACCACUCUCAAUAUCCUCAUCUGUAAAAGGAAUCUUUUAACUUUCAGUGAUGGGGAUUAAACCCAGGGUCUUACGCAUGCCAAGCAAGUGCUCUACCACUAAGCUCAGCCUUAGCUCUGAAGAAUAUCUUUGAGUUAUAUGGUAUAUAAGCUCCUUUGUAAUUCUAAACAUCCAUUCUUCUACAUAGUAAAAAAAAUGCAUUCAUUUCAGAAAUACUUUCUGUAUGCAGGAAGUCAAGAGGAGGACGACUGGGAUGAUGGUUGGCAGAAGACAAAGGAACUGCUUGCUAGAAAAGCAGGGGAAGCCAUGGGCAGAGUCAGCACAGUGACCUGUGGUUGGGAUGCGAUUUUAUCACAGCAGUCAGGAGUCACUGACAGAUGUAAUUACCAACCGGUAAUAAGACAAGACUUUGUUUUUCCUAGAAAAAUCACCAUGGUAGCAAUAUGGAGAGUGAUUUUAGAGUUCUGAUAACAGGCUACCUGUUAUCUUCCUCCUUCAUUAUAAUAUUUCCCCCUUUUAAAUUUUAUCAACAAAUGAAAAAUAGUAAACAAGAUUUCACAUAUUUCAGGCUAGUCUUGAACUUUCUAUGUAGUCAAUGAGCGUCUUGAAUUUUUUUUUUAUCUUCCUAAACCUACUUUCAUGCCGCUGGGAUUAUAGGCUUGUGUUGGGUUUAUGGGGUUCUGGGGAUCAAACCGUAGGCUUUGAAGGUAGAUGAGCACUGUACCUAGAGGCUAAUCUGAAGCAAAAGAUACUUAGUAAACAGCUUGGUUAAAAAAUGCUACAUUGUCCAAGGUGUCUCUGCACAGUGGUGGGAAAGUUGCCUCUUCUCUUAAAGUGAAUACUAUUCUGAUGAAUGGUUGACCUGGCUGGUGGUGAGGUAAUGCCUUUAGGUUACUACUGGUUGGUAAAGCAGAUAUGCCCUUUCAGUCAUUACUUCAUCAACUAAUAUUUUAGUACCAUUAAUACUAGAGCAAUUUAGAAUAAACUACUCUAAUGGGAGACUACUAUUCCUUUGUUACAUUAAAAAUGAAAUAUUGUUGUGGCUCAAUGGUAGAUGUCUCUCCAGGCAUAAACAAGGCCCUGAGUUCUGUCUAUAGUUUGUCUAUCCAUCUGUCCUCUAUCUUUAUCCCUGUAUACACACACGGACACACACAGACACACACACACAUUAAACAUUGCAAAAAUAUGUAAUUCAUUAAAUGGAAUUUUCCUUAAUUUAGAUAGUUUCAUUCUAACGUUGUAACUUAUUCUUUACUUACUUUUAUAGUCUCCUGUUAAAGCCAGGGGUGGUGCUGCUGCCUGUAAUCCUAAAUACUAAUCCAGAAAGAUCAAAAAUUUGAGGCCAGUGUUGAGAGAGAGAGAGACAGAGAGACAGAGACAGAGAGAGAGAGAGACAGAGAUAUGAGAGAGAGAGAGAGAGAGAGAGAGAGAGAGAGAGAGAGAGAGAGAGAGAGCAUUCCAGCCAGCCAGCGUGGAGUCGAUACUCAGUUCCAAUCUCAAAAGUAAAUAAAGAGAUAGCAUAGUAUAUAAAACUACAGAACUAGAUAGUGAUACUGCCUGCCCCUUUUAUAUGCUCCAUCUCUCUUUACUCUGAAAGUUAUAAAUAUUCUUCAUCUACAGAGUUUUGUAACUAGGAAAACAAUUAGUGAUCCUUGUAGGCCACUGUUUUACCGGGCCAAGAAACAACUUGGUUUUUUCUCUAAAAAAUGAGUUAUUUUGGAGGAAAUACUCCAGGUUUUAGCAUUCAGAAGUCCUUGCUGUAUUGCAGAUAUUAGGAUUCAUCUAAUCAGUGAAAUGAGGCUGGAAAGGACAGCAUUUACCUUCAGAACAUUUUGUUAUUUGGCAUAGCAUUUGCUUUGUGUUUACCAAGGAAAGAAAAUCAAAAGGGAACGAGGAAAGCCAGUUACAAAGAGGCCUUAGUGUGACCAGCACAUUUGCAACGGCUGCUUUGCUGCAAGCCCGAGUAAGACUUGAAAAGUUCAAGUUUUUCAUGUGCUUGGUAUGUGCAUUAACUGUAUAGUGAAAAAGGGAGUAGAUUUUGAUAGAAGCUAAGAGGUGGUGUGUGCUUCUGAUUUUAAUAAUAUUCCUAUUCAUUUGCUAGUCAUCCUAGGGUAUCUACUAUUGACAAUUUAUCAAAGGCAUUUUUACCUUGUUAUGAGACAGCCACCAUAAACAUUUAUUUCUCUUAUGUAUGUGGGUGUUUUGCCUGCAUUUGUAGCUGAGCACCAUGUGGGCUUCUGGUGCCUAAUAGAAGCCAGAAGAGAGUAUUGGAUCCCUUGGGACUGGAGUUAGAGAUGGUCAUGAAGCACCAUGUGGAUACUAGGAAUCAAACCCAGGUCCUCUGGAAGACCAGCUAGUACUCUGAACUGCUGAGCCAUCUCUCCUGUCCUAGAAACAAAAUGUUCUUAGCUGACCCACUGUGGAAUCAUUUCUACUGGUCCUGACCACUACCAAAAUUUACAUUCACUAUUAUUAUUAUUUUUUUUUUUACAGCAGACAACUAUCAAAUAAACUCAAGUUUGGAAAUGUUUACUGAAUGUCCUUGAUAUGCCAAAUGUUACAUUAGGGUUUGGGGAUUCAGACAGGAAUGAAGGCGUGACCUUCAUUCGUACAGUAAACAAUUUGAGGCAGGUGGUGUUGGGUUAUGUUAUCAACCACAAGGCUACUAGCAGAGUAACCCUCUCUAGAUCAUGAACACAUAUAAAUAACAUUGCUCCAAAUUGUUAGUUACAUGCCUCCCCCACUCUUUCUUCAUUUCUAAUACUUUAUUAGUGAUACUCUGUUGAAACUCUUACUGAACAAUAUAGAAAAUGUAAUGUGUAUGUUGUAGAGUAUGUUAUAAUUUUCCUAGCAUUCUAAAAUGUUUAGCUUCUCAGUAAUCAAAGCAUAUUGUAAUAUCAAGUGUCAUUUAGACUAUUGCCUGGGGCUUUUGCAGUUUUUGUAGCUUGUCCAGAAUAAAGUUUUUCUUAGUAGAUAACAUUUACAGAGGUACCUAUUGAUUCCUAAGCUAGGUGUUUUUAAUUGGAGAAGUAUUGAAGAGUUUAUGAAAUUCAUUCUCCUUUUCCUUAUUUUUUUUUCUUUCAAAGCCAACCAGGACCUAUAGUUUUACAGUUGCCUUUAUUGAUUUGAUGUUGUUAUGAGAGCAUUCUAGUCAUUUCAAUGUGCUCAAAACUUUUCUUUGAUAAAUGUCCCUCCAUAGCCACAGUUCUAUAAGUUGCCUCAGUGUAUAUGGCAAGUUCAAUGGUAGUAGCCUCCUUUCUUUCUCACAGUCAAAGUCUGACAUAGGAAUUGGAACCUAUGUUGAAAAUUAGAAAACAUUUCACUGGUGGUUAGAACAGUCCCCAUAAGAUAAAUUGGAGGACUUUCUGAGCACAAUUUUUUUAAAUAUUACUUUAAAAAUAAAAACAACCGAGAAACACUCUAAUUUCCAGGCUAGUGUUUAUUAACCUCAUGAAACUGUGCACUCAUUUUCCCUAACCAAAAGCUUUCAAGUAGCAGUGCACUGUGACUCUUGCUAGACUUGUUCCACAGUAAGAAAGGUUGUUGGGUUUUUUUUUUUGGGGGGGGUGUCUUUUUCUCCUUAAAAACUUUUUUAAAGCUAGAUUUUCUGGUUAGCUAGGAACUUCAUAGUAGUGAAUUGUUUCUACACAGUGUAAAAGCCCUAGGUUUGACUUCAUUUCAGGGCAGCGUUUACAAACUGAAGGCUUCUCUGGUGCCUGUGCCUUUUCUUCUUGUGUGUUCUUAUUCGAUUUUGUGUGUAUGGAACACAGAGCUGUAAGUUAGAGUCUAUACAGCCUGGAGCCUUGGAAUCUGGGACUUUCAGAGAAGACAUAAUAGAGGUGCAGCUGCCCUGGACCACAGGGCUUUCUUUCUUGAGUGUCUAGAUGGAUUGCUUUCUGUGAUCCUAGAUGUUAACUUUGUAUGUGUCUCCUCUUAUGCCAGAAUUAAAAUGCCCAUGUCUCUCCAGAUCACAGAAGCAUGGGAAUUGUGCACUGCCCAUCUAUCGUAGGCCAUGAUCCAAACAUAACUGUCUGUUUUAAAUGUUAGUAAGUAAAAUUGAUAGUUAUUUCUUUUAUUAUCAUUAGACUCAUGUGUAUUAUUUCCACCAUGCUGUUUGUUAGAAAGCUCUAUUUUGGUUGUAAUGAAGAGAUUGCUCUACUGGGCAUAGCUUUGUAAAAUGAUUAUUAACACUCUUUAUAUAUUCAGACCUCCCCCCAGCACACGUUCCCGUUCCCUUGUGUAUUUGACUUGAGUACCAGUUGAAUUGUUUCAUUUGCCUUCCCAAGUCCCCUUAAACAGAGGUAUUAGCUACCGAGAAAUCCAACUGACUUUGUCAAGUAAAUGAGAGCCAUCAGCUUGGCCUCCUCUUUCCCAGGGUCUCCUCUCACUGUGAGGGAAAACAAGAUUUCUAAGCCUCUAUACCUAUGUGUUGGGGCUGCAUGUUAAGGUGGGCCUGGAGAGCCAGUGCCAGAGAGAGUGCUGGGUCAGACAGGCUUCCUCAGUGCAAAGCCGCUCAUUUGUAGUCUGCAUGGCACUUAAACCCUUUCAAACUACAAACAAACUUCAGGAAAAUUCCAUCAGUCUAAACAGAGACAUGUUGCUUAAGUUGUUAUUAUACAAUCCGUGACAUUACUUACACAUCUACACAUCCACACUACAAUUAUCUUCCCAAUUUGACAAAUGACAUUGCUCCGGAGGUAGCUUCAGGAAAAGUGGCAGAAACCUCCAGUCAGGACAUUAAGGGUAACUCUGCAGGACUGGAAACGUUUUUCUCAUGCCUGAAAAAUCCACGCAGGUUUUGUCCUGAAUCUAAAAUAGGGAGUCAAAGCUGUCCCCCAAGUGGUUGGGAUCCCACUUUUAAAAUGUAAAUGAUCAGGCUGGGGUGACCCUGUGCUUGGCUGUUGAGAACAUCGGGGAAUAGUAAGUGAAAGCAGUGUUCUAAAUGGAUGUGCUUAAGAAUUCACAGCCCUCAGGACACAGCUAGUAAUUAGUUAAUUAGCCCUCUCACUCUUGCUCCACUAAGUGCUGUCCCCAGAUCUGGUGAGGAGUUUGCCUCAGCGCGCUUCUCCGCAUCUAGUGGUUGUUAAGCAGAAGUCAGACGAAGCCUAUUCUGGGCACAUUUUUAUUUCAAAAGCCAGACAGAAGGAUCACUCCUAAAGGGGAAAAAAUGGCAACUACUUGCCAGAAUAAAUCGAAUGAGGACAAACGCUCCGCACAAGUGCGGAAGCCCGGUUCUCUCCGCGACUGAGCUGCCAAGAAGGCAGCGAGAGGGGAAGAGGGGCACACCUACUCAGCACGGUCUUUUGGUCUGCAAAGGUUUGGCCUUCCCAGGACUCAGAAGGCCUGGUGGCCAUUUUCUUUCUCCUUUUAUUUCUUUCUUUAAGGGAGUAAAAGAAAAUUAAGACGGAAAAAGUAAAUCUCCCUUCCAGUACCGACAACUCGGCUCCUCCCCCAAAAGAAAAAAAAAAUUAAAGUGCAGGUACUAAACCCAAUCCACAUGCAUCCUGCAAAGCUCCCGCAGUCAACUGGAUUCCCUUUGGCGAGCCAUGCUGAAGGAGACGCGAUCUGGAAAAAUCAAUCGCAGCUCACGCCCCGCUCCGCCGCCGCAGUGGCCGGGAGUCAGGGCUGCAGGGCGCUCUGCCGCAGUGCACGUCCGCCGCCGCCGUCCAGCUCCAGUGAAUAAUGGAAGUAUGACUUGGAGACAAUAAAGCUGAUUUAUCACACAAAAUAACUCACUGCUGCUUCAGUCCAACCCUCCGUUGUGCCACUUUAAAUCACAAGUGCGCGCACCCAGAUCCAUAGGCGCUCACACAUGCACAGUACACGUGUGUGUGUGUGUGUGUGUGUGUGUGUGUGUGUGUGUGUGUGUGUGUGUGUGUGCUCUCGCGCGUGCGCGCCAGGAUCAAGUGGAAGGAUUCAGCUUUGCAUAUAGGGGAAAAAAAUCGAAAGAACCUGUCACUCCAGUCCAGUACCCUCAUCGUUUGCAGCGUGGGCAAGUGACGUAUAAUGCAAGUUGGCGCAAAAUAAGGUCCGAACAAAGCUAUCAUGUGAGGGGAUCCAGCGUUAAGGAACAGUCUGUAAAGACUGGCUCUUCUGUAGGCAGAGACCUGACACCAGACGCUGCUGCCCGGUGAAUGGAAAUUGCUCAGCUUCAGCCUCAGAGCAUCCUUGUGGGGAUUUUGUGAUGCUGCGGGUUUUCACAGAUUCCGAGGAGAACUUCAAGGAGAAUUUGAGUAUAAAUUCAGUUCUGCCUCUCACUCUCAUCCUCACCCAUCCGGAACACGGGAAUGUCCCACUUUAGACCCAGAGAAGAGCUAGCGGCGUCUCCAGGCAAGGAGCUGGAGGCACAGAAGCUAAGGCCAAGGUCAUGACCGCCCACUCCGCUUCUGAAGGAGGUGGCAGCUAGGCGCCGCCCUCUGUCUGACCCAGGAGCUGAUCUGGACGUUGCCUUGGACCGCUGAGAUCUGGAGCAAUGCUAGGGGAAGGAGGGAGAGCUACUGCUGACCAGCCCUUGAUCCUCUGGAAGCUGAAGCUCACUGAGUGCCUUUUAGGAAUUGUCCUGAAAGGAAGAUCAACUGUUAAGCACAGCUGCACUUGGAAAGGCGCUCCCUGGCGCUACUUCUUUUCCUGUUAGAGAUUUUUGAGAGGCCUGAAUCCUAACCUUUCUGUCUCCUCAACUCCAGGAACCCGAUCUAAUUGUCCACCACCUCAGCAGCCUGUCUUCGGUGGCUUAGGGUGAUGGAGCAAGAUUAUCAGUCUCCUCAUAGGGAAAAUGUUGCACGAAUUUGAAGUAUUGCAAGCAGUUAAAAACCAAAACCGAAACAAAGCAGAUAUCAAUCCAAACCAAAGACCAACCAAAAUAAAAAUAAAAAAUGCCCUCUUCAAGGCACACACACACAAAAACUUAAGGAAGCUCACUCUUGCCCCGUCAAUUGUGUCCUUGAACCCUUCAGGAAAACACAGCUCUCCCAAGCCUUCUGGAGGACAACUUAAUGACACUGCAGUAUAUCACCAGGUUAAAACGUUUUUCCAGAGGCAAGGUUUCAUAGAAACAUCUUUGCCACUGAAGAUGUAAUGUCUGGUUACAGAGAGGGCUGUGUGGGGGAAGGCUGGUUCCAAUCCAACUAAAAACCCUGGUUUCCAACUUUGGAACCAUAGCACUGGGUGCUGAGGGCCAUGGAGUGUCAGCCUCUGGAGCAGACAGGACUGUAGGCUGGGCUGUUUCCUAUUGCUUGCUGCAGUCUGCAACAGGUAUUUUCCUCUCCUGUUGAUUGAUUGAUUGACUGAUUGAUUGACUAAUUGAUUGAUUGUAAUCCUUCCUUCUAAUGCCCAGAGUUAAGUUCCCAUCUGCCUGUGUUUGAACCUUUCCCCCACAUUUUUAAGUGUGAUAAGCCCUGGCUCUUUAACUGGCAGAAUAGGAACCCUGAAUGUAAUACUGGGGUAGGGGAGAGGGGCAAAGCAGUCUAUCACCUUCAUUCAUUUAUACUCAGCUUUUCAUGGUUUACAAAAUGGACUCAAGGGGAAAGUGGCAGCAAUUUUUAAUUUCUCAGGCAGGAGAGCUUAUGAAGGCCAUAACAUUGUUCAGACUUCAUGUGUCUAAGAUAACACAACAUACUGCACCUCCACCCAAAUCCCCUUGGCAAACACAACUGAACCCCAACAUUCCUGGUCCUCCUUCUAUGUUAUGCAUCUUCUUAAAUUAUCUCUUUGAAAGAGGAUACCAACUUUCACGACAUCACUAAAUGCUCCCUUGUUCUGGGUAAGUUAUAUUCACGAAGUGUGGGCUACAAGCUUGUCAUUUAACCCUUGGCAGAGGUUUCGACCCUGGAAGAGAGAGUGAAGUCUCCAUUUAUGCCUUCAGGGAUAAAAGUGCUUUUCAUCCAGUUUACCGAGGAAGGGGGCUGAGUGCAAAGUGUGUAGGUUUGUAGAAGACAGGAUCCAUCCAUCCCUCAGCUUUGCCAGCAUUGGAAGCACAACCUCAAUAUGUCCACCAUUCUCUGCUUAAAUGCUCGGGCAGGGCACCAGGACACACUGCCUUUGUGGUUUCUGUCUCUUAUACCCACCAGCUCUGGGGGGAAAAAAAUCACACACCUGCACCUUAGAAAGAGGCCAAAUCCAGUUCCUGCCUCCCAGAGAGUAUGAAGACCACUUCUAUUGGAGUUACUGCGUGCAGCAAUUGUUUGUAGCUCCUUAAAGGGAAAACACUGCGUGCCCUUUGUUUUGUCUUAAGAAUCACACAGAGACUAGGCCGGGUGAUAUUCCUGCUAAGUUAAUGCUAGGGUAGAGUGCAGUGCUAGAAUCCCAAGACCAGAGUGUUAAAAUGGAUCUCAAUUUUCUGUUUCCAUAACUGCACUUUCUAUUUGGCUUAUUCCCUUCUUAGGGACCCCAUCUCCUGCAGCAGCACAAGAGAUUAAUAGUUACAUCCCUAUUUUUCUCAAGAUAAAAGCUGUCACUAAAUGGUGUUGCAACCAAGUGUCACAACUGUACAUACCCCAUUGCCAUUGUUUAUUUAAAUUUAUCUCUGCAGUUCUUUUAUGGACUUGGGAAAGUGUAACAGGUUCUAAUUGGUAGGGGGAAAAAAUCCAAGUCAGGUAUGUUUUACUUUUUUCCGAUCAAAGAAAGACUGAGUAAAAGAAUAAGCUUUUUGCAGUGUGUUUUUUCCAACACUCUUUUCAGUAGCUGUACGCUUUCCUCCCUUAUCCAGUUCCGCUUUCACUUUUCCUCCUCCCAGCCUCGCUAACCCACUUAACAAUUCUCCGGCCUGUCCCAGGCCGCUGGUAACGAGCAGAGGACGCCCACGACUCCCCCUAACCACACCGUUCAACUUCAGAAGCUCUUAAGAGAAAAAGUCUUCUUCUCAAAGUGCAGUCGGAGCAAAUCAUUCCCCCAGAGUUCCCUCCACAGCUGCCGUAGGAAGGACUUCGGUCGAUCUUCAAGAGGGGACCCGCGCACAGGACAAGUCCGCCUGUGGCCACAGCAGAACAACCCAGGCCGGAGGUUGACGCCGCCCUACGCGUCCUCCCACCCCACGGGACAUCCCGAUGACCCGGUCACUCAGCGCUCAGCCACUGUAGGACUGACUCCACUCUUUCCUUCCCUGCUCCGCUUCGCCUCCCGAAGUGCUCCCAGAUCAGCUGUGGUGUGAUCACUCCCCAACACCCAGCUCCAUCGCGUACACCCCAACGUGUGCAAGAUGGGGUUCGAAUAUGGGAACCCAACUUUGCAACGAAAAAGCUCAGGGUCAGGCCGGAGCCAGAGGGAAGAAAGAGCACGAAGAGACCGCACAGGGCGCCGAUACCGGGUCCUGAGGAGGCGGUCCUUGUUCCUAAACAGGCCAUGCAGGUGCACCCUGCUGCUUUCUCUUGCAAGUCUUUUGAGGUUUGGCCUUUUAGAGCUUUGUAAAGUUGACUCUCCCCCUCCUCUCAAUCACAGGGUCACACUAGGAACCACACUGUCCUCAGCCCUUUAAUCUCAUUACUGACUUUAGGGGAAGGGGUAGAAGGGUGAGGACGGCCUGGGCCGCGGGAGGAUUGGGGUUCAAGCACGGCUCAGGAGCGCCACGCUGGGCAGGAAGCGCUCAGAGGUCGGUCACUAGGCUCUACUUCUUGAGAAGUGCUGCUUAACCGCAACCGCUCCGCUCCGCCCACACCAGGGGAGCGGGAGAGAAGUCCCGGGCGAAAAAGACUUUUUUCCUUUAAGAGAAGGCAGCUGGUGACCCGGGUCCUCAUCCUUCAAGUUCCCCUAAGCGAAGCAGGGCGCCACCUACAGUCGAGUUCCAACUAGCACGUUGGUGAGAAGGCUGGAGAUCCUUUCCUAAGCAAGGCAGGAUUUUGGGCACAGCCAUCUCAUCUCUGUAAUCAAUCCAGACCAACAGGUCUGUUGGCAGGCAACAGCAGACUAGACCAUACCGAAAAUUUGCGUUGGGGGCGUGAAGAAGUUGGGAAACAGAACAGUACUAGCUCUGAUUGGACUUGUUCGCGCUCUAAUGGUUUUGGCUGGAUUUUGAACCCAGUAUCUCCCCCACGUUUCAGCCAAGGAGAGCAGCAGUCAAUUUCAUUAGGAAGAGUAUUUGUGUGACCUUGGACAAGUUGCUCCGUCACUCACUCUCCUUUUUCUUCCCCUUCAGAACUAUAACCGUGAGAGUUUUUUUUUUUUCUAAAUUAAUGAGAUAAAGUAGGUGAGAAACUGCCCAUGUUAAGAGCUCCCACCUAUUUCUAAAAGGGGGAAAAAUCUUCCGAGAAAUAAAACUUUAAAGACACUGCA
This is a long non-coding RNA of Mus musculus (house mouse), 16961 nucleotides long. RefSeq annotates it as predicted gene, 38709. The record is from RefSeq and is a predicted model, not a curated record. NCBI's taxonomy places the organism in Eukaryota, Metazoa, Chordata, Mammalia, Rodentia, Muridae. The transcript is spliced from 5 exons.